Molecule: ribosomal RNA, 253 nt
Filed under: uncultured bacterium
Lineage: Bacteria
Description: partial 16S ribosomal RNA
Rfam family: Bacterial small subunit ribosomal RNA
Source: RNAcentral
UACGUAGGUCCCGAGCGUUGUCCGGAAUUACUGGGUGUAAAGGGUGCGCAGGCGGUCUUGUGCGUCAGAAGUGAAAUAUCACGGCUUAACCGUGAGGGUGCUUUUGAAACGGCGAGACUUGAGUACGGGAGAGGAUGAUGGAAUUCCUGGUGUAGCAGUGAAAUGCGUAGAUAUCAGGAGGAACACCGGUGGCGAAGGCGGUCAUCUGGCCCGGUACUGACGCUCAGGCACGAAAGUGUGGGUAGCAAACAGG